This 443-nucleotide ribosomal RNA is filed under the name uncultured bacterium. RNAcentral describes it as "partial 16S ribosomal RNA". It matches the Rfam family "Bacterial small subunit ribosomal RNA", at positions 338 to 795 of the family's 1533-position model. The record is from RNAcentral.
CCUACGGGUGGCAGCAGUGGGGAAUAUUGGGCAAUGGGCGCAAGCCUGACCCAGCAACGCCGCGUGAAGGAAGAAGGCUUUCGGGUUGUAAACUUCUUUUGUCAGGGACGAAGCUCGUGACGGUACCUGACGACUAAGCCACGGCUAACUACGUGCCAGCAGCCGCGGUACUACGUAGGUGGCAAGCGUUCUCCGGAUUUAUUGGGUGUAAAGGGCGUGUAGGCGGGACUGCAAGUCAGGAGUGAAAGCUAAGGGCUCAACCCAUGGCCUGCAUUUGAAACUGUCUUUCUUGAGUGCUGGAGAGGUAAGCGGAAUUCCGGGUGUAGCGGUGAAAUGCGUAGAUAUACGGAGGAACACCAGUGGCGAAGGCGGAUUGCUGGACAGUAACUGACGCUGAGGCGCGAAAGCGUGGGGAGCAAACAGGAUUAGAUACCCCAGUAGUC